AGCUCAAAGUUGGAACCUGGCUGUCUUAGAUAGUCCGGAUUGUAAACUAAAGAGCGUGAAUCCAGGCAAGCCGGUUGAUCAAGUCCUUUGGAAUGAGGCGCCACUGAGGGUGAGAGCCCCGUAAAUCGACUGAGCAUUUGUCUUUUGUGUUUCGCGUUCAAAGAGUCAGGUUGUUUGGGAAUGCAGCCUAAAGCUGGUGGUAAAUCCCACCUAAAGCUAAAUACAGGCGAGAGACCGAUAGCGAACAAGUACCGUGAGGGAAAGAUGAAAAGUACUUUGAAAAGAGAGUUAAACAGUAUGUGAAAUUGCCAAGAGGGAAGCAUUUGGAGUUAGACUGACUUGAAGUUAAUCAGCUUGGUCUUUGGACUGGGUGUACUUGACUUCUAUGUCUGCCAAUAGCAGUUAGUCCUGGUGGAAAAAACUGAAGGGAAGGUAGUCCUUCGGGAUGUUUAUAGACCUUUGGAAAAUACACUGGGAUUGACUGAGGAAUGCAGUAGAUGCUAUUAAGGCUUCGUCUAGUAGGUGUUAGGUGAAGGUACUUGGUAUUUUCAGCUUGCUGAUGUGCUAGGUUACUUGAGCUUAAUUGC
RNAcentral lists this ribosomal RNA (587 nucleotides) under Lichtheimia corymbifera. RNAcentral describes it as "eukaryotic LSU rRNA". It matches the Rfam family "Eukaryotic large subunit ribosomal RNA", at positions 106 to 628 of the family's 3401-position model. Lineage: Eukaryota; Fungi; Mucoromycota; Mucoromycetes; Mucorales; Lichtheimiaceae. The record is from RNAcentral.